RNAcentral lists this ribosomal RNA (429 nucleotides) under Chloroflexota bacterium. RNAcentral's name for it is "Chloroflexi bacterium partial 16S ribosomal RNA". It matches the Rfam family "Bacterial small subunit ribosomal RNA", at positions 355 to 776 of the family's 1533-position model. Lineage: Bacteria; Bacillati; Chloroflexota. The record is from RNAcentral.
UGGGGAAUAUUGCACAAUGGGCGCAAGCCUGAUGCAGCCAUGCCGCGUGUAUGAAGAAGGCCUUCGGGUUGUAAAGUACUUUCAGUCGGGAGGAAGGUGUCAAGGUUAAUAACCUUGGCAAUUGACGUUACCGACAGAAGAAGCACCGGCUAACUCCGUGCCAGCAGCCGCGGUAAUACGGAGGGUGCAAGCGUUAAUCGGAAUUACUGGGCGUAAAGCGCACGCAGGCGGUUGAUUGAGUCAGAUGUGAAAUCCCCGGGCUUAACCCGGGAAUUGCAUCUGAUACUGGUCAGCUAGAGUCUUGUAGAGGGGGGUAGAAUUCCAUGUGUAGCAGUGAAAUGCGUAGAGAUGUGGAGGAAUACCGGUGGCGAAGGCGGCCCCCUGGACAAAGACUGACGCUCAGGUGUGAAAGCGUGGGGAGCAAACAGG